CAAGCUCUCUAUGAUGGAGCUCCAGCCUGCUGUAGCUGACAUUGGUGUUGCUCUUGGCCUCCCUGCUCGAGGAACAUCUCCU
Long non-coding RNA from Telopea speciosissima, 82 nucleotides. RefSeq lists it as uncharacterized. Lineage: Eukaryota; Viridiplantae; Streptophyta; Magnoliopsida; Proteales; Proteaceae. The transcript has 3 exons. The record is from RefSeq and is a predicted model, not a curated record.